UUACGGUCACAUCACGUUGAGAGACCGAUUCCCGUCCGAUCACCGAAGUUAAGCAACAUCGAGCAUGGCCAGGACCUAAGAUGGGUGACCGCUUGGGAAUAACAGGUUCUGUAA
Acanthosepion pharaonis is the source of this 114-nucleotide non-coding RNA. The record is from the annotation of a GenBank genome assembly. Lineage: Eukaryota; Metazoa; Mollusca; Cephalopoda; Sepiida; Sepiidae.